GUUAUGUAAUGUCUGUGCCUGAUAAAGCCAGUAUCUGGAGGCCCUGUGGGACGUUUGUUUGUUGCUGGUUCUCAUUCAUGGUGCCUUUUUCCCUUGUGAGAUUUAUUAUUUCUAACUAUGUACUGGAUACCUUAUUUGAAAAACUGUUCAUAGAAAUAACUGAAGACUAAGAAGAUAGUUUCUAAAAAGGAUUCAUGCUUGCUUCUUCCAGGUACCUAGCAGGCACUAACACUCUGAAAUCACUAUAAUCGAAAUUCCAGGACUGAGAUCAUUUGAUGUUGAGCUACAUACAGUACUUGUGAGACCAGGUCAAUUUCUGAUUCAACUGUUUCAAGCAUGCAGUCCUUUGGAAUCCCAACCUAAAAUACAGGAUUUACUGGAGCCUCUUCAGCCACUCUUCUGGCCCUCAGUAUCUCAAAAGUGUAUCAGCUAUGAUAUUGAAGUCAGGACAGUGGUUUACCUUUAAGAAAGAGGGAAGGAUACAGUUUUAUUUAUUGACCAGGGUGGUAGGCUUUUUCAAAGGCUGUUUUCAUCAAGGAUACUCUUCUAUUAAAAAAUCAUUAACGAUCCUUCACUGCCUAUAGGAGUAAAUCUGAAAUUAGUAAAGAGCACUAAAAUAUGAGCCAGGAGAUCUGGGAUCUAGUCUUACUUCUAAUGAGGGACCAUGAGAUGUCAAGGCAGCCACAUGGAAAAUGAGAGGCGCGAGAUGGAGAAUUAGUUUGCCUUCAGAUAACUACGUCUAGACCAUCCAUUCAGGCAUCGACAUAUUGCAACAUCACAGAAUAUGCU
Long non-coding RNA from Acinonyx jubatus (cheetah), 789 nucleotides. RefSeq lists it as uncharacterized. The transcript is spliced from 4 exons. The record is from RefSeq and is a predicted model, not a curated record. Lineage: Eukaryota; Metazoa; Chordata; Mammalia; Carnivora; Felidae.